UGAGGAAUUUUGCGCAAUGGGAGCAAUCCUGACGCAGCAACGCCGCGUGAAGGACGAAGGCCUUCGGGUUGUAAACUUCUUUGAUCAGGGACGAAUAAAUGACGGUACCUGAAGAACAAGCCACGGCUAACUACGUGCCAGCAGCCGCGGUAAUACGGAGGGUGCAAGCGUUAUUCGGAAUUACUGGGCGUAAAGCGCGUGUAGGCGGUCCUGCAAGUCUGAUGUGAAAGCCCCGGGCUUAACCCGGGAAGUGCAUUGGAAACUGUGGGACUUGAGUACUGGAGAGGAUGGGGGAAUUCCCGGUGUAGAGGUGAAAUUCGUAGAGAUCGGGAGGAAUAUCAGUGGCGAAGGCGCCCAUCUGGACGGUAACUGACGCUGAGACGCGAAAGCGUGGGGAGCAAACA
RNAcentral lists this ribosomal RNA (404 nucleotides) under uncultured prokaryote. Its description in RNAcentral is "bacterial SSU rRNA". It matches the Rfam family "Bacterial small subunit ribosomal RNA", at positions 355 to 774 of the family's 1533-position model. The record is from RNAcentral.